UACGUAGGUGGCAAGCGUUAUCCGGAAUUAUUGGGCGUAAAGAGCGCGCAGGUGGUUGAUUAAGUCUGAUGUGAAAGCCCACGGCUUAACCGUGGAGGGUCAUUGGAAACUGGUCGACUUGAGUGCAGAAGAGGGAAGUGGAAUUCCAGGUGUAGCGGUGGAAUGCGCAGAUAUCUGGAGGAACACCAGUGGCGAAGGCGGCCUCCUGGACCAUUCCUGACACUCAGACGCGAAAGCAUGGGUAGCGAACAGGAUUAGA
Molecule: ribosomal RNA, 259 nt
Filed under: uncultured prokaryote
Description: partial 16S ribosomal RNA
Rfam family: Bacterial small subunit ribosomal RNA
Source: RNAcentral